RNAcentral lists this transfer RNA (65 nucleotides) under Nepsalus caelestis. RNAcentral's name for it is "tRNA-Leu". Lineage: Eukaryota; Metazoa; Arthropoda; Insecta; Neuroptera; Myrmeleontidae. The record is from RNAcentral. RNAcentral also lists the same sequence under 1 other name.
AUUACUUUGGCAGAUUAGUGCGUUGAAUUUAGAAUUCAAUAAUGUGAAUUUUUUUACAUGUAAUA